This 398-nucleotide ribosomal RNA is filed under the name uncultured bacterium. Its description in RNAcentral is "partial 16S ribosomal RNA". It matches the Rfam family "Bacterial small subunit ribosomal RNA", at positions 523 to 918 of the family's 1533-position model. The record is from RNAcentral.
AUACGUAGGGUGCGAGCGUUGUCCGGAAUUACUGGGCGUAAAGAGCUCGUAGGUGGUUUGUCGCGUCGUCUGUGAAAUUCCGGGGCUUAACUCCGGGCGUGCAGGCGAUACGGGCAUAACUUGAGUACUGUAGGGGAGACUGGAAUUCCUGGUGUAGCGGUGAAAUGCGCAGAUAUCAGGAGGAACACCGGUGGCGAAGGCGGGUCUCUGGGCAGUAACUGACGCUGAGGAGCGAAAGCAUGGGUAGCGAACAGGAUUAGAUACCCUGGUAGUCCAUGCCGUAAACGGUGGGCGCUAGGUGUAGGGGUCCUCCACGACUUCUGUGCCGUAGCUAACGCAUUAAGCGCCCCGCCUGGGGAGUACGGCCGCAAGGCUAAAACUCAAAGGAAUUGACGGGG